This 458-nucleotide long non-coding RNA is filed under the name Zonotrichia albicollis (white-throated sparrow). RNAcentral describes it as "lncRNA (ENSZALG00000011827.1)". The record is from RNAcentral. Lineage: Eukaryota; Metazoa; Chordata; Aves; Passeriformes; Passerellidae.
UGAGGAGCUGUGGUGGUUCAGGCUGUGCUGCCUCGUUUGCUGAGGGAUUUGGAUUUUUUUCCCUUGAGCACCCUGGAAAGAUGGACCUGACCUCAGUGAGAACAAACUGUCCAGCUCAUAAAAGAGAGCUGAGAAAGGAGGAAGAGCUGGUGAAUCCCUGACUGGCCCCAAACCAACCCGGGAAGAGCAGAGGGAGAAGGGUGAGGGACACAGUUAUUCCUCAUCAUCUGGGGACACAGCAAUGACACCAGGUUAAUGAAGGAGGCAGUGGCAGGGUGGCUCACAGGAUCCCCUUCCCGUCCUUCCCGGGCCGGCAGCGACUGCGGGCAGCCAGGAACGGAGGUGGGGAGCUCUGCUGGGAAGCAUGCCAGUGCGGCACUUCCUUCGUUUUGCAACCUCGACCAUAACCUUGUGGGAAUGAGGAUCAGGUGUUCCCGGCUGAUCUCAUCUGGUUCAGG